Molecule: non-coding RNA, 1581 nt
Organism: Coregonus clupeaformis (lake whitefish)
Lineage: Eukaryota; Metazoa; Chordata; Actinopteri; Salmoniformes; Salmonidae
Source: the annotation of a RefSeq genome assembly
AAACCAACAUUUGAAAAUGCACCAAACAUGCUAAACAGGAAUGAGAUGAAAUGUGUGUUAUAUUCUUGUUAUUCCUAAUUCUGUUUUUAGCUACACAAACAUCAAUUAUCACCCAGACACCUGGGGUGGUGAUGGUGAAGGCUGGUGAUACAGUGACCUUGAAAUGCCAUUUGAGUGAGCUUAUGACCUACUGCUUCUCUGUGAGUUGGACAAAAGUGGACCCCAGGACUGGAACACAGUGCUUGAGUACAAACUUAAAGGUUGAUAACAUUUCAGAUGAAGGGAAUUGGGACAAACAAUGUUCUGCUACAAUCACCAAUGCAAAAGUGAGCGACUCUGGCAUGUACUACUGUUUGGCGGUCCACUCCCAAAUGGUGCACACUGGCAAUGGUUCUAAAGUUAUUAUUUUGGCAGAAAGAGUGAGGGAAGGGAACAGUGCUGAAGCCCCAACCAUCCAAAUCGUCUCUUCGCCAGAGGUUGACGGCUUCUUCAUCCCUCUCCUGUGUUUGGUGUUGGAAGUGGUCCCGUCUCAGGUCCGUGUGUUCUGGCUCAUAGACGGGAGAGAAGAGAGUGGACUCACUGACUCCACCUGGACAAACAACAGCGAUUCAGCCACAGAGUUCACUAGGAACCAGAUUCUGGUCCAGGCAGAGGAGUGGGACAGACGAGCAGAGUUUACAUGUGUGGUGGAGUUUGAGGGGCAAAAUAUCACCAAAACACUGCUGCAGCGCAAUGAUUCCAAUGCCAUGUGCACAAUGCUGAUGUAUGGGACCUCUGCAGCUGCUCUCCUCACCAUAAUAGUUGCCGUCACUAUCGCUGUGUGUCUGCACCGGCAUCCCGUGUUUAUUAAUGCAGAUGGAAGACAAAGAGGCACAUGCACUGAGAACAGACAGGAUCAAUCUGGGAGACGUGGAGAAGCAAGAAAGGCAGUUAGAUCAUCCGUCUCGGAGGUCCAGUAUGCGACUUUGGACCAUAUACAUUUUGGGAGACUCACAAAUACAGUUCUCCAAUCAGAUUUUGACAAAGAAAUUGCAUAAGAGUUCCAUGUAUUUGUUCAUGAUGUAGAUGCUUAUAAACUGCCACUGAUAAAAAAAAAAAAGAUUAUUAUGUAUGUAUUUGUGUAUAAAGCAAGAGCCAGUGUCCGCAAUUGCAAAGUGCCCCAGAGCCAAUGGUGCGGCACAGAGCUCUUUCUUUUAUAUUGGAAUUCAACUGUGGAAUAGCCUUCCAUUAGCCAUUAAACUGGCCCAGUCCAAAAAGGUUUUCAGAGGUCAGGUUAGAGCCCUUCCAUCAGAAAAAGUGUACAGGCCUACAUAGGAAAAUGACUGAAAUAGUCUUGAAUUUUGUAUUGAUUAUGUAUUUAUUAUGGUGUAGGCUAGUUAGCUGCCUAUCAUAGGCCCAUGUCACAGGAGGUUGGUGGCACCUUAAUUGGGGAGGAUGGGCUCGUGGUAUUGGCUGGAGUGGAAUGAAUUAAAUGGUAUCAAAUACAUCAAACACAUGGUUUGAUGCCAUUCCAUUUGAUCCUAUGUGUUCUUACGCUAUUGUGUGUCAUCCUCUGGGAUUCUUUGUACUUUUAAAACUGUA